UACGGGGGGGCAAGCGUUGUUCGGAAUUACUGGGCGUAAAGGGCUUGUAGGUGGCCAACUAAGUCAGACGUGAAAUCCCUCGGCUUAACCGGGGAACUGCGUCUGAUACUGGAUGGCUCGAGUGUGGGAGAGGGAUGCGGAAUUCCUGGUGUAGCGGUGAAAUGCGCAGAUAUCAGGAGGAACACCAGCGGCGAAGGCGCUGCUCUGGGCCGGUACUGACGCUGAGGAGCGAAAGCGUGGGGAGCGAACAGG
Molecule: ribosomal RNA, 252 nt
Filed under: uncultured bacterium
Lineage: Bacteria
Description: partial 16S ribosomal RNA
Rfam family: Bacterial small subunit ribosomal RNA
Source: RNAcentral